This 253-nucleotide ribosomal RNA is filed under the name uncultured bacterium. Its description in RNAcentral is "partial 16S ribosomal RNA". It matches the Rfam family "Bacterial small subunit ribosomal RNA", at positions 524 to 776 of the family's 1533-position model. The record is from RNAcentral.
UACGUAGGGUGCAAGCGUUAAUCGGAAUUACUGGGCGUAAAGCGUGCGCAGGCGGUUGUGCAAGACCGAUGUGAAAUCCCCGGGCUUAACCUGGGAAUGGCAUUGGUGACUGCACGGCUAGAGUGUGUCAGAGGGGGGUAGAAUUCCACGUGUAGCAGUGAAAUGCGUUGAGAUGUGGAGGAAUACCGAUGGCGAAGGCAGCCCCCUGGGAUAACACUGACGCUCAUGCACGAAAGCGUGGGGAGCAAACAGG